Molecule: long non-coding RNA, 2510 nt
Organism: Oncorhynchus tshawytscha (Chinook salmon)
Lineage: Eukaryota; Metazoa; Chordata; Actinopteri; Salmoniformes; Salmonidae
Source: Ensembl
CAGAUCAUGUGACACUUAGAUUGCACACAGGUGGACUUUAUUUAACUAAUUAUGUGACUGAAGGUAAUUGGUUGCACCAGAUCUUAUUUAGGGGCUUCAUAGUAAAGAAUACAUAUGCACACACACCACUUUUCCGUUAUUUAGAUAUUUUUGAAACAAGUUUUUUAUUUUAUUUCACUUUACCAAUUUGGACUAUUUUCUUUGUUUGUCCAUUACAUGAAAUCCAAAUAAAAAUCCAUUUAAAUUACAGGUUGUAAAGCAACAAAAUAGGAAAAACGCCAAGGGGGAUGAAAUACUAUUGUCAGGCACUGUAUUUUCUCACACGUUUGCUGUGCCCCAAAUGGCGUGCAAUCCCCUACAUAGUGCAUUCUCUUUGGCAAGGGCCCACAGAAGUAGUGCACUACAUAGGGAAUGGGAUGCCUAGUCUCUCCACACAGCCUCUGUAUGUCCGGCAAGCCGGACUAUAGCUCACAGGAUGAAAUCACAAACAAUUUACCCAAACCUAUUUUAGUUAUAGCAUUAUUUCAUUUCAUGUUAGAAACUACGUGUCCUUUUUCAUAACUCCCUGUUGAUGCAUUCAUUAACCAAACCAUACAAUAUUAAUAACCAUAACGAGAGAGAGAGACUCGAUAACAACCUGGAUGUAUGUAAUAGUUUUACUAUUACAGAGGUUUCUAUACACUGAGCAGGGCCAUAGACAUGGGUUACAGUCCAGAUCACAUCCUGAUAUAUUCCCUAGGGACUGAGCAGGGCCAUAGACAUGGGUUACAGUCCAGAUCACAUCCUGAUAUAUUCCCUAGGGACUGAGCAGGGCCAUAGACAUGGGUUACAGUCCAAAUGGCAUCCUGAUAUAUUCCCUAGGGACUGAGCAGGGCCAUAGACAUGGGUUACAGUCCAGAUCACAUCCUGAUAUAUUCCCUGUAUAGUCAGAAGGAGUGGACUGUGUAGGGAAUAGGGACUGUGUAGGGAAUAGGGACUGUGUAGGGAAUAGGGACUGUGUAGGGAAUAGGGACUGUAUAGGGAAUAGGGACUGUGUAGGGAAUAGGGACUGUGUAGGGAAUAGGGACUGUGUAGGGAAUAGGGACUGUAUAGGGAAUAGGGACUGUGUAGGGAAUAUAUAACAUAAAACACUGGCUAACCACUGGUGUGGGGUUAAGACUCAGUGGAAAUGCAUCACCAUAGUACUAGACUAGUACUCAUAUUUAGUCAGUACUGCUGUAGUACUCUUAUACAGUACAGUUUAAGUCAGUACUGCUAUAGUACUCUUAUACAGUACAGUUUAAGUCAGUACUGCUAUAGUACUCUUAUACAGUACAGUUUAAGUCAGUACUGCUAUAGUACUCUUAUACAGUACAGUUUAAGUCAGUACUGCUAUAGUACUCUUAUACAGUACAGUUUAAGUCAGUACUGCUGUAGUACUCUUGUACAGUGCAGUUUAAGUCAGUACUGCUAUAGUACUCUUAUACAGUACAGUUUAAGUCAGUUCUGCUAUAGUACUCUCAUACAGUACAGUUAAAGUCAGUACUGCUAUAGUACUCUUAUACAGUACAGUUUUAAUGUGCAAUUAGCUGUAGCCCCUAACAUGGCGAUCAAUAAUCAAUAAUAUUACGAAGUUGGAUAAAAUAUUGAUCAUAUUUAUAAUUCGCAUUGACAUUGAUAAAUGGUGCUGGACUGUAAUUAAGGUUAUGAGGUACACUAGUGACUUUACAUUGAGCCCUGGUGAUGGGAGUCUGGUGGCAGAGUUAUGAGGUACACUAGUGACUUUACAUUGAGCCCUGGUGAUGGGAGUCUGGUGGCAGAGUUAUCAGGUACACUAGUGACUUUACAUUGAGCCCUGGUGAUGGGAGUCUGGUGGCAGAGUUAUCAGGUACGCUAGUGACUCAGCUCGUCUGUUGAACACUACAGGGGGAAACAAUGAGCUCUGGAAGGGUUACACUGCAGGCGAUUCCCUGAAUAUUUUCACUAACAUCUACCAUGCUUUUCAUCUACCAUGUUAGACUUUGGUUUUUGUUCUUGAAUUAUCUGGUGUCAGGAGAGAAAGAAAGAGUACAGAUGUAGGAUCUUAAUUUGAGCCAGUUUGCUGCAGCAGGAAAAUAAUCCCGCAGCAACGGGAAAUGUCAAUAGUUUUUUUGUGGAUUAUAAUUAAUAUACUUUUUUUGUAAGGGUUGAUAGAUUUUUAAUUAUGGUAAAUCAAGUCUGACAUUUUUAAGGGGAAAUUACAAACUUUAUAUCCCUUUUAUUUAUUUUUUUUACCCUGAAUGCAAUACAAGUUUGCAUUUCCUGCUGUGCAAGAAAUUCCUGCAGCUGGAUGAUCAAAUUAUGAUAUGGCAUCUGUAGUCGAAUGACAAUUCAGGUGGUUGACUUCAAUUGCAAAAUCAAUGCACUGUAUGUUGAAGCAGUAAGGUAUGAUCUGAAUAUGACUGUGUGGUACUAAGGCUAGGCUAAUCCCUCUGCAGUUCUAUAUGACUGUGUGGUACUAAGGCUAGGCUAAUCCCUCUGCAGUUCUAUAU